CAGCCGCCACGGUAAUACGGAGGGGGCUAGCGUUGUUCGGAAUUACUGGGCGUAAAGUGCACGUAGGCGGCUUGGUAAGUUAGAGGUGAAAGCCCGGAGCUCAACUCCGGAAUUGCCUUUAAGACUGCCGAGCUAGUAGGUGAGAGAGGUAAGUGGAAUUCCGAGUGUAGAGGUGAAAUUCGUAGAUAUGCGGAGGAACACCGAUGGCGAAGGCAGCCCCCUGGGCCAAUACUGACGCUCAUGCACGAAAGCGUGGGGAGCAAACAGGAUUAGAUACCCGAGUAGUCCCUGUCUCUUAUAC
This 301-nucleotide ribosomal RNA is filed under the name uncultured bacterium. RNAcentral describes it as "partial 16S ribosomal RNA". It matches the Rfam family "Bacterial small subunit ribosomal RNA", at positions 509 to 807 of the family's 1533-position model. The record is from RNAcentral.